Long non-coding RNA from Scylla paramamosain (green mud crab), 2199 nucleotides. RefSeq lists it as uncharacterized. The record is from RefSeq and is a predicted model, not a curated record. Lineage: Eukaryota; Metazoa; Arthropoda; Malacostraca; Decapoda; Portunidae. The transcript has 5 exons.
UAAUAUAUAGACGAAAACAGUACCAUUUGCAGGACGGUUAUAUGAACUGGCAGCCAUUGUUGAUGUUUGCAUUGCUUGCUGGGGCCGGGAGAAUUCCACGAUUACAGCUCAAAUAGAAGGAGUGAGUGAGGCAGGAUGAGUCUGAUGGGUGCUUAGGCUGAGAGUCACGCCGCAGGGUCAGUGAGGGGUACGGCCGGCAGUAUGGUGACUCCUACGGCGGCGGUAGGUCAUCACAGGAGUACUCAUGUGACAGGAGCAGCAGUUGGGGGGUGGUCACAGGGGAGGGGGCUGAUGGCGAAACCAUGGGAGGGGGAGAUGGUGCCGGGGAGUGGCAGGGUGGCCGGCCUUAUGCUGCAGGGGACGGCCACUGCUCCGGACAUCAUGGCGUAUGGAUAACCUGGAGUCCGAAGUGGCACUUAAUAUUCUCAAUGCUGUGGUGACUAAUAAAGAAGAGGCACAGUGGUCAAGACAGGGACUGGGAAGGCAGACAGAAGAGGAGGAUGGACUGGAUGAGUAACAGCAGUACUAGUAGAAGUAGUAGUAGUGAUAGUUUGAUCAUAGUAGAGAUAGCAGUAAAAUAUCUAGUUGUAUUAUUAGAAGUAGUAGCAAUAGUAGAAGUAAUACCAGUAGUAGAAGUAGCUUGGUCAAAGUAGUAAUGGUAAUAGUAGUGAUAGCAGGAUGUUAUUUAACUGUAUAAAAGAAAGAUUAAAUCCAUAUAUAAAACUUAUUGGCAGGACCAGUAGCAGCAGCAGUAGUAGUAUUAGGAACACCGUGGUCAUAAUAACAGAAGUAGAACCAUAACAAUUCACUAUAUAAAACAAAAAGCACCAAACUAAUAUAGCAUCAACAACAACAACAACAGCAACAGUAGCAGUAGUAGUAGUAGUAAUAGUAGCAGCAGUAGUAGUAGUAGUAACAACACUAACUCCAACACUUUACCAACAGGACGACCAGUACUAUGGGUCUGGCUGCGGCAUCCUACCCACCCCCCGGAUGCCCCCAUGCUAACUGCCCUGGCGCGACCCUAACAUUGGCCCUGCACACUCCUGGGGUGUGGUGGGGGGCUUUGUACCAGGGCGGCCGGGGCGGGGGCGGGGUAGAGCAACAGGACUGGGGUACAAGAUGAAGAAAACGUUGCCGGCUAAGAAGAAAAUAGGAGCUAAGGAGGUUAAGACAAGUGGUGGUGGUGGUGGUGGUGCUGGUGGUGUGAAACCGAGGAUAAGACUGUAUCAUCAGUCUGAUGAUAUUUUGAAUAUCAAUUAUUUAACUUCUGCAACACCUGAGGACAAGACAGGAGCCAGCUCCUCCCAGAAUGAGCCCACACCUGCACCUGAGGACACACCCACACCUGCACCCAAGCCUUCACCCACCCCCAGCACCCACUCCAGCAUCCAGCACAGCCCAGGGGAAGGCCCAGGGCAGGCAGCCAAGGGCCGAGGCGGGGGCAGGGGUGUGGCGUGGGGGAGGAGAGUGUGAAGUGUGUGGGUUAGGUUUGUAUGUGGUACUUUGUCUGGGCUGCUCCAUAUGUGGGAGAGCUCGGUUGGUGUAGAGAUGGAUAGAUAGAUGUGUGUGUGUGUGUAUGUGUGUGUGUGUGAGGGAUUUGUACUUCAUUCAAGCAUCAUUUAUUUUUACUACUGCUACUAUCUUGUUCACUACUGGAAGAUUAGUACUAAGAUGUGAUUCUUGUUAUUUUUAAGGGUAUUAUUCCAAUGUUUUUUGUAUGAUUGCAUCUCAUUCCUGUUGUACUUGAGAGAGAGAGAGAGAGAGAGAACAGGCCCCAUUGCACAAACUAAUGAUAAAAAAAACUCACAACCAUUCCAAAAAGUAUAAAUAUGUUAGUUUUGUCAGUAGAUUUUGCAAGAAAGGAAAUUUGAAAUACAGGAGUGUGUGGGAGAGGCAAAGGAUAUGUAGGACGGCAGAUUAGUGUGUGAAGGAUGUGUAGGAGAGGCUGAGGAUAUCCUGUACACUGUGUCAGGAUGGUUAAGGGUGAUUUGGAAGGAAGCUAGUGUGUGAAGGAUGCAUUAGGUAGGAUGUGUAGUAGUGGGUACAAUGUGUUAAGAAUGAUAUGUAUGUUACAGGAGAUAAGGAUGUGUAUUUUCACCACAAGUAUGUGUACAGAUUGGUGUUAACACAGCAGGAAGGUUUGAUGAAGCUGGACCAUCAUUCCUUGUGUUGUCUUAAUAAAUGUAUGCAAACUGA